CCCUUAGAUGUUCUGGGCCGCACGCGCGCUACACUGAUGCAUUCAACGAGCCUAUCCUUGACCGACAGGUCCGGGUAAUCUUUGAAUCUGCAUCGUGACGGGGAUAGAUUAUUGCAAAUAUUAAUCUUGAACGAGGAAUUCCUAGUAAGCGCAAGUCAACAGCUUGCGUUGAUUACGUCCCUGCCCUUUGUACACACCGCCCGUCGCUACUACUGAUUGGAUGUUUAAGCGAGGUUCUCGAACUGCUAGCGACUUAGCUUCGGUGAGGUCGCAGUGUGGGAAGUGAACCUAGCUUUGGUGUCUAGAGGAAGUAAAAGUCGUAACA
RNAcentral lists this ribosomal RNA (325 nucleotides) under uncultured eukaryote. RNAcentral describes it as "partial 18S ribosomal RNA". It matches the Rfam family "Eukaryotic small subunit ribosomal RNA", at positions 1470 to 1796 of the family's 1831-position model. The record is from RNAcentral.